RNAcentral lists this ribosomal RNA (1685 nucleotides) under Staphylococcus pseudintermedius. RNAcentral describes it as "partial 23S ribosomal RNA". It matches the Rfam family "Bacterial large subunit ribosomal RNA", at positions 1239 to 2925 of the family's 2925-position model. Lineage: Bacteria; Bacillati; Bacillota; Bacilli; Caryophanales; Staphylococcaceae. The record is from RNAcentral.
UUCUAAGGGCGUUGAAGCAUGAUCGCAAGGACAUGUGGAGCGCUUAGAAGUGAGAAUGCCGGUGUGAGUAGCGAAAGACGGGUGAGAAUCCCGUCCACCGAUUGACUAAGGUUUCCAGAGGAAGGCUCGUCCGCUCUGGGUUAGUCGGGUCCUAAGCUGAGGCCGACAGGCGUAGGCGAUGGAUAACAGGUUGAUAUUCCUGUACCACCAUUAUUCGUUUUAAGCGAUGGGGGGACGCAGUAGGAUAGGCGAAGCGUGCUGUUGGAGUGCACGUCCAAGCAGUGAGAUUGAGUGUUAGGCAAAUCCGGCACUCUUAAGAUUGAGCUGUGAUGGGGAGAGGAACUUGUUCCUCGAGUCGUUGAUUUCACACUGCCGAGAAAAGCCUCUAGCUAGAAUAACGGUGCCCGUACCGCAAACCGACACAGGUAGUCAAGAUGAGAAUUCUAAGGUGAGCGAGCGAACUCUCGUUAAGGAACUCGGCAAAAUGACCCCGUAACUUCGGGAGAAGGGGUGCUCUUUGAGGUUCACGCUUCGAAGAGCCGCAGUGAAUAGGCCCAAGCGACUGUUUAUCAAAAACACAGGUCUCUGCUAAACCGUAAGGUGACGUAUAGGGGCUGACGCCUGCCCGGUGCUGGAAGGUUAAGAGGAGUGGUUAGCGCAAGCGAAGCUACGAAUCGAAGCCCCAGUAAACGGCGGCCGUAACUAUAACGGUCCUAAGGUAGCGAAAUUCCUUGUCGGGUAAGUUCCGACCCGCACGAAAGGCGUAACGAUUUGGGCACUGUCUCAACGAGAGACUCGGUGAAAUCAUAGUACCGGUGAAGAUGCCGGUUACCCGCGACAGGACGGAAAGACCCCGUGGAGCUUUACUGUAGCCUGAUAUUGAAAUUCGGUACAGUUUGUACAGGAUAGGUAGGAGCCUUAGAAGCGUGAGCGCUAGCUUACGUGGAGGCAUUGGUGGGAUACUACCCUAAUUGUAUUGGAUUUCUAACCCGCAGCACUUAUCGUGCUGGGAGACAGUGUCAGGCGGGCAGUUUGACUGGGGCGGUCGCCUCCUAAAGAGUAACGGAGGCGCUCAAAGGUUCCCUCAGAAUGGUUGGAAAUCAUUCAUAGAGUGUAAAGGCAUAAGGGAGCUUGACUGCGAGACCUACAAGUCGAGCAGGGUCGAAAGACGGACUUAGUGAUCCGGUGGUUCCGCAUGGAAGGGCCAUCGCUCAACGGAUAAAAGCUACCCCGGGGAUAACAGGCUUAUCUCCCCCAAGAGUUCACAUCGACGGGGAGGUUUGGCACCUCGAUGUCGGCUCAUCGCAUCCUGGGGCUGUAGUCGGUCCCAAGGGUUGGGCUGUUCGCCCAUUAAAGCGGUACGCGAGCUGGGUUCAGAACGUCGUGAGACAGUUCGGUCCCUAUCCGUCGUGGGCGUAGGAAAUUUGAGAGGAGCUGUCCUUAGUACGAGAGGACCGGGAUGGACAUACCUCUGGUGUACCAGUUGUCGUGCCAACGGCAUAGCUGGGUAGCUAUGUAUGGACGGGAUAAGUGCUGAAAGCAUCUAAGCAUGAAGCCCCCCUCGAGAUGAGAUUUCCCAACUUCGGUUAUAAGAUCCCUCAAAGAUGAUGAGGUGAAUAGGUUCGAGGUGGAAGCGUAGUGAUACGUGGAGCUGACGAAUACUAAUCGAUCGAAGACUUAAUCAA